RNAcentral lists this ribosomal RNA (525 nucleotides) under Escherichia coli. RNAcentral's name for it is "bacterial SSU rRNA". It matches the Rfam family "Bacterial small subunit ribosomal RNA", at positions 78 to 595 of the family's 1533-position model. Lineage: Bacteria; Pseudomonadati; Pseudomonadota; Gammaproteobacteria; Enterobacterales; Enterobacteriaceae. The record is from RNAcentral.
GCUUGCUUGCUUUGCUGACGAGUGGCGGACGGGUGAGUAAUGUCUGGGAAACUGCCUGAUGGAGGGGGAUAACUACUGGAAACGGUAGCUAAUACCGCAUAACGUCGCAAGACCAAAGAGGGGGACCUUCGGGCCUCUUGCCAUCGGAUGUGCCCAGAUGGGAUUAGCUUGUUGGUGGGGUAACGGCUCACCUAGGCGACGAUCCCUAGCUGGUCUGAGAGGAUGACCAGCCACACUGGAACUGAGACACGGUCCAGACUCCUACGGGAGGCAGCAGUGGGGAAUAUUGCACAAUGGGCGCAAGCCUGAUGCAGCCAUGCCGCGUGUAUGAAGAAGGCCUUCGGGUUGUAAAGUACUUUCAGCGGGGAGGAAGGGAGUAAAGUUAAUACCUUUGCUCAUUGACGUUACCCGCAGAAGAAGCACCGGCUAACUCCGUGCCAGCAGCCGCGGUAAUACGGAGGGUGCAAGCGUUAAUCGGAAUUACUGGGCGUAAAGCGCACGCAGGCGGUUUGUUAAGUCAGAUGU